Molecule: long non-coding RNA, 1729 nt
Organism: Meriones unguiculatus (Mongolian gerbil)
Lineage: Eukaryota; Metazoa; Chordata; Mammalia; Rodentia; Muridae
Exons: 3
Source: RefSeq, a predicted model, not a curated record
AUUAGUAAAAAAUAAAUUAAUUAAAAAGAAAAAAAAAAGGAAAGUCUGGGUUCUAAGGACUAUUAUGAAAUCCAGGAAAAGGAACUCAAACUCCUUUGUAGCAUGAGUCCUAAAGUUUACCUUUUUUACCUCUCCACCUGGCAGCUAUGCUCUCAAUAACAGUAUAGCUGGUGAGACAAUUUCAACUCUUUUUUUGUUUUUGUUUUGUUUUGUUUUGUUUUGUUUUUGAUGCCCCAGUUCUAAUUUUGCCUCACUUGUUAUCCCUAUAUGAGCAUUGGACAAUUCUCUGUGAUCAGCUUUGUCCUCUGACCCCAUUUAACUCUGCACACCUCCAUUUGCUCAGUGGUAAACUUUACAAGGGUCCUCUACCAGAAUUAAUAACGGUGAGCCUGCUUUAAUUUGAACUCGCCAAGUCCUUUGCUACAAUAAACACCCCCAAGAUUUCCUCCCGAAGCAUUUAAUAAUCUGUUUAAUUGGGCUGGCAGCAGGGGAAUGGUUUUCUUGGAAGUCUGGCUGUUCCCUCCUGUUGCUACUACCUCCUUGACCCUAAUCAUAAGCAAACAAAAGCAGUCAAAACAACAAAAUAAAAUGUGGGACACGGACACGAUACUUUACUGCACAUGAUAAAUGCUAUUUUUUUAAUCACUAUUUAUUAUCUUUACCACCUUGCUCAGUUUUCUUUCUCCAAAGAAACUUUUGAGCCCUUCGGAGUUGAACCUUCCUAACUAAAGCAUCCACCAGAAAGCCCCGUCUAUUUCUCGUCCCACCAGCAAUUUCAGCAUCCUUCUUUUGGAGUGCGGUUCCCUUUUACAUCAAGAGUGUUUCCGGAGCAGAUAACAGGCGCUACAAUCAAGGAGAAGCAGGAGACAGCAUUGCUCACACUGCCGUCACUUCUAAGUGGGAAGAGAGCCCAAAGAUCAGGAACAGGGCCGGAGCAUCUGAGAAGCCUAGUGAGAAGGACAGAAUGUUUUGCAGAAAGUCUUCCAACUUCAAAGACCAACGGUCAUCCAGUGUCCAGAGAAGAGAGGCACAUCCUGGGUCUCCACUAAAAGAGUUUCUCAGAAACAUUCCCUUGUGCUUUGGGGUAUGACGUUCCGCCACACCAUUUUGGAUCUAAAUGAAAACUUCCCUGUCUAUCUUCAAGGAAUACCGGUUGGCAUCAGAGAAAAAGAAAGACUGUCUAUGUCUAAGAACACACAGGAUCCAUUUCAAACAGAGAAAAGCCUCUAACACGCUCUUUUACCUGGUGCUGAUUUACAUGCCUUUGGAGACUCAUCCACCCAGUGAAGGACAGGGAUUCAUGUCAGCAAAGCAAUGUACCACCAGUGUCUGAUGCACAGUAGAAGCCACUAUAUAACUGUUGCUUUUAAUUCUUUAAAAAUAAAAUCUGUUUAUUAACUAUAGGUGGCCAACGUGGCAGCUGAGCCACAGGUCAGGGAAAUGGGUUCCCUAAAUCAGUCUUUCCCAAAUGCUCUGAAUUCAAGAUGGAAAUAUUUGUACAUUGAGGAGAAGUUGGGUAGAGGGCAGGCAUCAUACAUAAAAGCUCCCUGGUCAUGGUGCAAAUCAACUCCUAGAUUUUACAGUUGUUUCAAAUAGUCACUAAUACAUGACCUUGAACUCAAAACAUCAAUGCACCAGCAUCGUCCUUUCCCACAUUUUAUCAAGGACAGAGUGUUCUUUAUACACUCAGGAGUGCUGGUGAGUAUCAACUAGGUAAGGUGAGGUAUGA